CCUAUGAGAUGAAACACCUCCUACUGUGAAUACCAGUAACAUCAACACAACCCUCAGCAACCUUCAAGGUUUGACAUGCUGCUCAAUUCCUCAUUAAGACAUUAAAUACAGACCAGAUGAUUGGCAGCUGCAACAUCUCUGAUGUCACUUCCAGUGUCUGCCCGCCUGGACCCACCUCUUCCUGCUGGAAGGACAUAUAAUGGGGAGUCUGGCCAUUCUGAAGUCAGGAAAUCCCACAUGGUUCUGGCGGCACUGAUGACACUACUUCCGGUCCCAAAAAUGUCACUUCCUGUUCAGGCAAGACUGAUGACGUCACCUCCAGUCCUGAAGAUGUCACUUCCAGUUCCAGUACUGAUGACGUCAUCACUUCUGGUCACGAUGACCUCACUUCCGGUUCCAGGCCCGAUGAUGUAAUUUCCCAUACUGCCCUUUAAAACUGCCAUCUUGCCUCAAUACAAACCAGUUCUGUUUUGGACUCUGCUCUGUGAACAUCU
Long non-coding RNA from Polypterus senegalus (gray bichir), 494 nucleotides. RefSeq lists it as uncharacterized. Lineage: Eukaryota; Metazoa; Chordata; Cladistia; Polypteriformes; Polypteridae. The record is from RefSeq and is a predicted model, not a curated record. The transcript has 3 exons.